UUCUGCAAAGAAGAAUGAGAGAAACGGCCCAGAAAUAGAUAAGUGAAGAAUUCAAGAGGAUAACAACAGUUGGCCUUGAAUUGACCUUUCUGGCAAAGCUUGACCAAUGCACCCUGAAACUGAUGUCCCUGACCCAAUCAAAGGGAGGAUCCGCAGGCCUCAAGAUAAGGUACAUUACAGACAUGCUUCUUGAGGACAACCGAGAUGAAAAGUACAGAGAAAUGGCCAUUCGCUGCCUCAUCUUGGAGAGAAGGAGGAAGACCUUUUCAAACAUUACAACGAUGUGGAGGAGCUCGACGUAGACCUUUCGAUGCAAGUGAUGAAGAUUGCCAUCAUUGGUGAUGGGCGUCCAACCAUCGCAGUCGAGGGAACCGAGAUCCUGCAGGGGAUUGAUGUCGCCAGAUCCUGUGCUUUGCUGAUGGGAGUAAUCUAUGCCCUUAACCUUAGCUAUCCCAAGCACUUUAAAUUUACCUUUGAGGUAUUUCAGAAGCUAUGUCUUGAGCUUGAUGGACAAAAAGCCAGCUCUAAAGUAACAAAUCUCAAGUACGGUAUUUUCUAGAGUAGACUUGAUCGACCAUGUGUGAGGGAGAGGCUCACAUCACACGCACUCACACAAUUCGCUUGUUCUUUCUGAGAUAAUAUUAAUACCUACAGUACUGAGUGAAAACCAAAUCAGUGUAAUCAGAAUUGAAAAGGAUGGCCUCUGUUCUCUGAGGGUGUUGGUGUUAUUUUGAACUUGAACUUGUCUCUUUGGAAAUUUUUGCUGGAGUUAAUCAGGAGGAUGAGAAGUCUGAUAUUGAGAUGAGAUGAGAGAUGAUGCGAGUACUGCCAAAGUUGAUUGAUAGAAGCUCAUUUGAUGUUGAAAUGUGUCCCUUUAAUAUACAGCCAUCGAUCAUCUUUUGUUUUAAAUCAUUUUCAUUUGUUCAUGUCAAAGGACGGUGAUUCAUGCACUCGGCUUUACUUUACUAUUUUAUAACACUUUUCCUCCUCAUAGAUUUCUGAGUGCAUGUUAUUUUGUGUCUCAGGAGAAUGUAGCCUACACAGUUUGCACAGUUUGAAGGAUUUUGAGCCGUGGUUAAUUCCUCCCAUGACCUUUGCUCUGGGGGUAUAGGUGUAUUUUGAACUUUAUAUGCAGUGCCUUCUUUUCCUGGCAUUAGUCAGGAGGGUAAACAGUCAUAUAUUGAGAAUAAGGAUGAUGAUGUGAGAGUACUGCCAAAGUUGAUUGAAAGAAGCUUUGCUCAUUUGAUGUUGAAAUUAGUGCCUUUAAUGUACAGCCAUCUAAUGGUGGUUUAACUUCACUUUAUAAUACUGUUCCUCCUCAUACAUUUCUGAGUGCAUGUUAUUUUGUGUCUCAGGAGAAUGUAGCCUACAAAUGUGGGUUUUUGCUUUUUUAAGAAAUGUGCUACUGUUUAUUACAGUUACUGUAAUGAAAUAAAUAAAUAAAAAUAAAAUAAAUAAUUCUGCCAGCAGUUGGCUUAACUUAAAAAUUCUAGUGUAAAACGUUAACAUAUUUUUUUGAGUUGUCCCAAUGUUUCAUUUUUUAGAGUGUAUGGACAUAAUUAUCUGUUUAUAUUGUUAAUCCCUGCUUGUAUUUUAUUCC
Gasterosteus aculeatus aculeatus (three-spined stickleback) is the source of this 1600-nucleotide non-coding RNA. The record is from RefSeq and is a predicted model, not a curated record. Lineage: Eukaryota; Metazoa; Chordata; Actinopteri; Perciformes; Gasterosteidae.